This 492-nucleotide ribosomal RNA is filed under the name uncultured bacterium. RNAcentral's name for it is "partial 16S ribosomal RNA". It matches the Rfam family "Bacterial small subunit ribosomal RNA", at positions 29 to 507 of the family's 1533-position model. The record is from RNAcentral.
AGUGAACGCUGGCGGUAGGCCUAACACAUGCAAGUCGAACGGCAGCACAGUAAGAGCUUGCUCUUACGGGUGGCGAGUGGCGGACGGGUGAGGAAUACAUCGGAAUCUACUUUUUCGUGGGGGAUAACGUAGGGAAACUUACGCUAAUACCGCAUACGACCUACGGGUGAAAGCAGGGGAUCUUCGGACCUUGCGCGAUUGAAUGAGCCGAUGUCGGAUUAGCUAGUUGGCGGGGUAAAGGCCCACCAAGGCGACGAUCCGUAGCUAGUCUGAGAGGAUGAUCAGCCACACUGGAACUGAGACACGGUCCAGACUCCUACGGGAGGCAGCAGUGGGGAAUAUUGGACAAUGGGCGCAAGCCUGAUCCAGCCAUACCGCGUGGGUGAAGAAGGCCUUCGGGUUGUAAGGCCCUUUUGUUGGGAAAGAAAAGCAGCAGGUUAAUACCCCGCUGUUCUGACGGUACCCAAAGAAUAAGCACCGGCUAACUUCGUG